This is a long non-coding RNA of Anguilla rostrata (American eel), 1822 nucleotides long. RefSeq lists it as uncharacterized. The record is from RefSeq and is a predicted model, not a curated record. The transcript has 3 exons. NCBI's taxonomy places the organism in Eukaryota, Metazoa, Chordata, Actinopteri, Anguilliformes, Anguillidae.
CUGUUUCUUGUGUUUUUUGCUGAUUUCAAGUUGAGCGGUACGAUGUAUGUGAAAGGUUUGUUUGUGCCGGUCCCGUGUAGGGGUUGUGCAGGUUGUGCAGGUUGUGCAGCCAUGGAGACGACGUGGCUAUUGUUGGUUGACCUUAAUGCAUACAGCAAUCGAGAGCCAUCCGAUACAUGGCAUCAGGGGACUCAAUGUGCAGCUUGUCAUACAGUUAUCGUCUUGGAUUAGAGACAAUCUCUUCCUGUAUUGAGUAAACCUGUUGGGCAAUAGAGAAAAGAAUGGAGUCUGUCCAUCUGCCGAAACCCACAGCAGAAAACUGGAAGAGGAUCAGUAGGCGGUUUGAAGAGAAAUAGGAUUUCCCAAACUGCUUAGGAGCGAUUGAUGGGAAAACACAUCAAUAUCACUGCACCAGCAAGAUCAAAGAGUCUCUUUUUCAAUUAUAAAGGGACAUUCUCGAUUGUGCUUCUUGCCCUUGUCGAUGCAGAGUACCGCUUUACUGCUGUACAGGUGGGGGAAUUCGGAAGAGCUAGUGAUGGUGGGGUUUACGCCUGCUCUGCACUGGGAAAAAGGAUGGCUGCAAAAACCCUGAAUGUCCCAGAAGACCUUCCUACCUGGUGCGGAGGAUUUGGGGAGAAUGCCAUACACCAUGAUCAGAGAUGCCGCAUUUCCCCUCAAGCCAUACCUAAUGCGACCCUAUGCCAGAAGACGGCUCCCAACUACACUGUAGUUCAAGAAGGUUGCAGUUCUGGAAGAUGAUGGGACUUGAGGCCAAAGGGUUCCUGGAUACUUACUGUUUAAUUCUUCUCAAGUCUCUUGUGGUAAAUUUGUGUAUUUUCUUCUCAACGCGUUUUUGGCGUCCCUGUGGACUCACACUCACAAAUCUCUUGAUUGUGUGAUGAUCAUGACUCAACAUCUUUGCAAUUUCAAGUGUUUUGUAUCCCUCUGAAAGCCAGUUAACUAUUUUUGCCUUUUCAUCAUCUGUCAGGUCUCUUUUUCGCCCCAUUUUCCCAGCAGCAAAAAGCUGCCUAAUAAUUAUGCACACCUGAAUUUAAGGCAUUCCUCACUUUAAGCCACACCCUCUCUCAAUAAAGCAAUUAAGUCACCUGAAAAUGUUUACACUAAGUGAAUAAUGAGGUUAAUAUGGUUUUCAGUUUAAUAAAAUGCUCUUGAAGAUGCUAUUUCAUUAGAAUAUGGACUUGCAUAAUAAUUAUGUACACAGUGUAUAGGCUUUCCAGGGCCUGCAUGUCGGCAGAGAAGGCUUUUGGCAUUCUUGCCUCCAGAUGGAGGAUCUUCUACCGUUCCAUACAAAUGAAACCAGCGAAGGUUGACAGCCUGGUGAUGCCAGCAUGCAUACUGCACAACAUGCUCACCAGGCCCAUGGAUGAUGAGCACUGGUUGAGGGAAGCUGCAGAGCCCCAGGGUGGUAUGAGGGGGAUUGAAGAUUGCCCCAACAGAGCUGGUGGGGGCCAUGGCAGCGCCUGAGAGAUUUGUGUACUACUUUGUCUCUGAAGCAGGCCAGCUAGACUUCCAGGACAGGAUGGUGCCGUAAAAAGCUUAAAUCAGGGGGUGUCAAGCUCAUUCCAUCGAGGGCCGAGUGCACGCAGGUUUUUGUUUUAACCAAUGCCAUAUACUAUCUGAUUUCACUAAUUAGUGUGAACCAAUUAGUGAAAUCAGCUGGUGUAUGGCAUUGGUUGAAACAAAAACCUGCAUAUACUCGGCCCUCGAUGAGUGACACCCCUGGCCUAAACUAAUCAUUCUUUGGCUACUGUUGAUUGAAAUCCUACAAGAAUUACAUCAUAAUAAAACAUUUAUUUUAAUA